This 518-nucleotide ribosomal RNA is filed under the name Penicillium citrinum. RNAcentral's name for it is "eukaryotic LSU rRNA". The stretch from base 144 to 297 matches the Rfam family "5.8S ribosomal RNA". The record is from RNAcentral. Lineage: Eukaryota; Fungi; Ascomycota; Eurotiomycetes; Eurotiales; Aspergillaceae.
UUACCGAGUGCGGGCCCCUCGGGGCCCAACCUCCCACCCGUGUUGCCCGAACCUAUGUUGCCUCGGCGGGCCCCGCGCCCGCCGACGGCCCCCCUGAACGCUGUCUGAAGUUGCAGUCUGAGACCUAUAACGAAAUUAGUUAAAACUUUCAACAACGGAUCUCUUGGUUCCGGCAUCGAUGAAGAACGCAGCGAAAUGCGAUAACUAAUGUGAAUUGCAGAAUUCAGUGAAUCAUCGAGUCUUUGAACGCACAUUGCGCCCUCUGGUAUUCCGGAGGGCAUGCCUGUCCGAGCGUCAUUGCUGCCCUCAAGCCCGGCUUGUGUGUUGGGCCCCGUCCCCCCCGCCGGGGGGACGGGCCCGAAAGGCAGCGGCGGCACCGCGUCCGGUCCUCGAGCGUAUGGGGCUUCGUCACCCGCUCUAGUAGGCCCGGCCGGCGCCAGCCGACCCCCAACCUUUAAUUAUCUCAGGUUGACCUCGGAUCAGGUAGGGAUACCCGCUGAACUUAAGCAUAUCAAUAA